This 253-nucleotide ribosomal RNA is filed under the name uncultured bacterium. Its description in RNAcentral is "partial 16S ribosomal RNA". It matches the Rfam family "Bacterial small subunit ribosomal RNA", at positions 524 to 776 of the family's 1533-position model. The record is from RNAcentral.
UACGUAGGGGGCCAGCGUUGUCCGGAAUCAUUGGGCGUAAAGCGCGCGUAGGUGGCCUCGUAAGUCCGCUGUGAAAGUCAAAGGCUCAACCUUUGAAAGCCGGUGGAUACUGUGAGGCUAGAGUACGGAAGAGGAGAGUGGAAUUCCCGGUGUAGCGGUGAAAUGCGCAGAUAUCGGGAAGAACACCCGUGGCGAAGGCGGCUCUCUGGGACGGUACUGACGCUGAGACGCGAAAGCGUGGGGAGCGAACAGG